CGCCAGACUCCUACGGGAGGCAGCAGUGGGGAAUAUUGCACAAUGGGGGAAACCCUGAUGCAGCGACGCCGCGUGAGCGAUGAAGUAUUUCGGUAUGUAAAGCUCUAUCAGCAGGGAAGAAGAUGACGGUACCUGACUAAGAAGCCCCGGCUAACUACGUGCCGGCAGCCGCGGUAAUACGUAGGGGGCAAGCGUUAUCCGGAUUUACUGGGUGUAAAGGGAGCGUAGACGGCGAUGCAAGCCAGAUGUGAAAGUCCGGGGCUCAACCCCGGGACUGCAUUUGGAACUGUGUGGCUGGAGUGUCGGAGAGGCAGGCGGAAUUCCUAGUGUAGCGGUGAAAUGCGUAGAUAUUAGGAGGAACACCAGUGGCGAAGGCGGCUUACUGGACUGUAACUGACGUUGAGGCUCGAAAGCGUGGGGAGCAAACAGGAUUAGAUACCCUUGUA
RNAcentral lists this ribosomal RNA (446 nucleotides) under uncultured bacterium. Its description in RNAcentral is "bacterial SSU rRNA". It matches the Rfam family "Bacterial small subunit ribosomal RNA", at positions 329 to 792 of the family's 1533-position model. The record is from RNAcentral.